RNAcentral lists this ribosomal RNA (253 nucleotides) under uncultured bacterium. Its description in RNAcentral is "partial 16S ribosomal RNA". It matches the Rfam family "Bacterial small subunit ribosomal RNA", at positions 524 to 776 of the family's 1533-position model. The record is from RNAcentral.
GACGAACCGUGCGAACGUUAUUCGGAAUCACUGGGCUUAAAGCGCGUGUAGGCGGCCCGGUAAGUCCGCUGUGAAAGUCGGGGGCUCAACCCUCGAAUGCCGGUGGAUACUGUCGGGCUAGAGUGCGGGAGAGGCGAGUGGAAUUCCUGGUGUAGCGGUGAAAUGCGCAGAUAUCAGGAGGAACACCAAUUGCGAAGGCAGCUCGCUGGAACGUAACUGACGCUGAGACGCGAAAGCGUGGGGAGCAAACAGG